RNAcentral lists this ribosomal RNA (495 nucleotides) under uncultured bacterium. RNAcentral describes it as "partial 16S ribosomal RNA". It matches the Rfam family "Bacterial small subunit ribosomal RNA", at positions 30 to 507 of the family's 1533-position model. The record is from RNAcentral.
UGAACGCUGGCGGUGUGCCUAAUACAUGCAAGUCGAGCGAACAGACGAGGAGCUUACUCCUCUGACGUUAGCGGCGGACGGGUGAGUAACACGUGGAUAACCUACCUAUAAGACUGGGAUAACUUCGGGAAACCGGAGCUAAUACCGGAUAACAUGUUGAACCGCAUGGUUCACCAGUGAAAGACGGUCUUGCUGUCACUUAUAGAUGGAUCCGCGUCGCAUUAGCUAGUUGGUAAGGUAACGGCUUACCAAGGCAACGAUGCGUAGCCGACCUGAGAGGGUGAUCGGCCACACUGGAACUGAGACACGGUCCAGACUCCUACGGGAGGCAGCAGUAGGGAAUCUUCCGCAAUGGGCGAAAGCCUGACGGAGCAACGCCGCGUGAGUGAAGAAGGUCUUCGGAUCGUAAAACUCUGUUAUUAGGGAAGAACAAAUGUGUAAGUAACUAUGCACGUCUUGACGGUACCUAAUCAGAAAGCCACGGCUAACUACGUG